This 481-nucleotide ribosomal RNA is filed under the name uncultured bacterium. Its description in RNAcentral is "partial 16S ribosomal RNA". It matches the Rfam family "Bacterial small subunit ribosomal RNA", at positions 28 to 507 of the family's 1533-position model. The record is from RNAcentral.
GAUGAACGCUGGCGGCGUGCUUAACACAUGCAAGUCGAACGAAGCAUUUAAGACAGAUUACUUCGGUUUGAAGUCUUUUAUGACUGAGUGGCGGACGGGUGAGUAAUGCGUGGGUAACCUGCCUCAUACAGGGGGAUAGCAGCUGGAAACGGCUGGUAAUACCGCAUAAGCGCACAGUACCACAUGGUACAGUGUGAAAAACUCCGGUGGUAUGAGAUGGACCCGCGUCUGAUUAGCUUGUUGGCGGGGUAACGGCCCACCAAGGCGACGAUCAGUAGCCGACCUGAGAGGGUGACCGGCCACAUUGGGACUGAGACACGGCCCAGACUCCUACGGGAGGCAGCAGUGGGGAAUAUUGCACAAUGGAGGAAACUCUGAUGCAGCGACGCCGCGUGAGUGAAGAAGUAGUUCGCUAUGUAAAGCUCUAUCAGCAGGGAAGAUAGUGACGGUACCUGACUAAGAAGCUCCGGCUAAAUACGUG